RNAcentral lists this ribosomal RNA (459 nucleotides) under uncultured bacterium. RNAcentral's name for it is "partial 16S ribosomal RNA". It matches the Rfam family "Bacterial small subunit ribosomal RNA", at positions 338 to 795 of the family's 1533-position model. The record is from RNAcentral.
CCUACGGGUGGCAGCAGUGAGGAAUAUUGGUCAAUGGGCGGAAGGCUGAACCAGCCAAGUAGCGUGCAGGAUGACGGUCCUAUGGGUUGUAAACCGCUUUUGUCAGGGAGCAAGGGGCGCUACGUGUAGGGUUUUGCAAGUACCUGACGAAAAAGGAUCGGUUAACUCCGUGCCAGCAGCCGCGGUAAUACGGAGGGUGCGGGCGUUAUCCGGAUUGAUUGGGUUUAAAGGGAGCGCAGGCGGAAUGGCAAGUGAGCGGUAAAAUUUCGGGGCUCAACCCGGUCGUGCCGUGGAAACUGGCGUUCUUGAGUGAGCGAGAAGCAGGCGGAAUGCGUGGUGUAGCGGUGAAAGGCAUAGAUAUCACGCAGAACCCCGAUUGCGAAGGCAGCUUACUGGCGCUCAACUGACGCUCAUGCACGAAAGCGUGGGUAUCGAACAGGAUUAGAUACCCUAGUAGUC